This 25838-nucleotide long non-coding RNA is filed under the name Manihot esculenta (cassava). Its description in RNAcentral is "long non-coding RNA (MESC_LNC007591)". Lineage: Eukaryota; Viridiplantae; Streptophyta; Magnoliopsida; Malpighiales; Euphorbiaceae. The record is from RNAcentral.
UGGUGUUAAAAAUGGUGCAGAAGGUUGGAGAUAAUAUUGCACUAUUUUAGUGCAAAGCACCAAAAUGGUGCAAAAAAUAGUGCAUAGGGUUGGAGAUGGCCUAAGAGGCCUCCAGUCCGAAAAUGGGGCAGUUUCUCUCUCCACUUUCAGGCAAAGGUAAGUUCUUGCCCUUCCAUUGUUGAUUUGUUGUUUUCCUUCAAAAUAUUCAUGAGUUUUACCUUGUUUUUGAAGUUUUAAGCUUGAAUCCAAGAUUUUAAAGUUUGGAGACCGUUUCUCCUCAACUCCAAGCUUGGGUCGCAUCUACCUUAGAUCUUCAAGAGGUAAGCGUAGAUCCUUAUCUUUCCCUAUGUUUUAAGUAAGUUUUAAAAAGGGUUAAGGAUUAAAAAUGCAUAAAAUGGUUAGAUCUAAUGCUAUAGGGUUUGAGCUGUGUUUUUAAUGAAUGCUUGCUCUUGUGUUUUGUUGUUGUUUGUUGGGGUUUAGGCUAGUUUUUGUGCCCCUUAUGCUUGAUGAGUGAGUUUAUGCAUGUUUUGAGAUGUUGGGUAUGAGGUUUGGAGAGUUUUGGUGGCUGAGUGCAUAAGGCAGAAUCGGGCUUUGCCAUUCUGGAGAACCCAGGUUCGGCCGCCAAAGCAGGGUUCGGCCGCUGAACCUGCCUGUGGAGGCAGCCUUUGGCCGCCUAACCUGCCCCCGAAAGGAUGGACUUUUGGAUUUGUGAAAAGGUUAGGCCGCCGAACCUAUCACCGAAGGUUAGUGACUUUCAGAUCUGUGAAGGGUUUCGACUGCCGAACACGCCCCCGAAAGUCCCCGACUUUCGGAUCUGGAAGGGACCUUCGGCCGCCGAACCUGCCGCCGAAAGUCCCCUGCCCAGCCUUCCUUUGCUUGUUUCCUAUGCAUGUUUUGUUAUGUUUAAGGGGUUUUUUGGGAGAUGUUUAGGGUCUUGUUAGAGUUGUGUUUGGUCCCCCAUUUGAGUCCAUCUACGUAGGAUCGGACCUGGGAGACCGUAGAGGCCAGCAGUGAGUCAGCUGCUACAAUUUUAGUCAAGCGUCAGCCAGAGGUGAGUAGAACUGAACUAAUUUCUUGUUCUAAAGUAAUCAAACUUUUUGAGCAUGUUCAUGCAUCACGAAUGUUAUGUUAUAUAAUAGGUUGUAUGCAUUAGAAUUCACGAAAAUGAUGCAUAUUUUACUGUUGUUGAGGAUGGAUAUUGAAUGACCCACUAGCCCUCGAGCAGGUUAUGUUAUGACGGAUACGGAAGACCAGGGCUGCCCAUUCUACGCGCCUUGGCACCAUGUAAGAGAAAGACCAGGGCUGCCCAUUCUACGCCCCUGGCAUUUAUGGAUAUGCUAUGUUAUGUUUAAGAGGAAGUCUUGAGGAGCUCUGUCGAGGGCCGGGCAUUAUUUGGUAAAUGUGGAGGGUUACUGGUGACAAGUCCAUCUUGUUGGAAUUGUUUGUGCUGUGACGCAUUCCAUAUGAGCAUAUGUUUAUUAAAUUGUUUUUAUGUUCUGCUCACUAGGCUUUUGUAGCUUAUCCCUUUCCCCUAACCCCAGGUUUGCAGGGUCAAACAUAGCUCGAGAGAGUUGGCUUACGGCUAGUAUAGUUUUUGUAAUAGAAUAGUCGUGGACAUAUAAUGUAUAAUGGAUUAGAAUUGUGCUUUGCCCUAGUUUUUACCUUUGUAAUCCCUGUUGUUCAUGAUCUUUAUGUAAACGUUUUUAAUGAUGAGUUAUGUUUGAACCAAGCUUGAGGCAUGUGUUGGUUACCAUACUAGAGCAUUUGAUGAUGGGCUCUAGUGUGGGUUUUAUGUAUACAGUUUAUGAUGCAUGCACAGGUCAGGCCUUGGUUCGUGAAAUGUUUAAGUUUUAUGAAAAUGUAUGAUCAUGUAUGGGAUUUUAUCAGGUACACAGGAUAUAUAGUAGUCUUGCUAUGAGUUCCGGCGACCUUAAGUCGAUUUGAAUCCUAGCGCCGGUAGCGGUCUGGUUUCCGGGUCGUUACAACAUAUAUCAAUAUUUACUUCCUAUAUUAACAUAUUUACUUCCUAUAACCUAUAACACAACCAUUUCUUCUUUUUCAUAAAUAACUUGCACUCCAUUACUGAUGUUACAAAGUCUACUUGAUACUAGGCCUAAAGUGUGGAUGAGCCCUCGUUGAUACAUAGAUGGCAUCAGGUCCUCAUUCCACUGAUAUUUUAAUCAUUGCAUCCAAGCUAUAAAUCCUGAUAUUGUCCUCUUGAGCAGGCAUGUUACCAUACAUCCAUUCCCUAAACUGUAUGUGUUAUUGCUUAGAACUCGAUGUCUCAUAGCAACUUCCAUAUCUCCCCACAAACCAAGAAAAACAUAAUGUGAUUGUUGAUAUUUUCCCCUCUAGCCUCUGGAAGAUGAAAUCUUCAUUCAACAUUCCACUAAUAUCAUCUAAAAGCUCUUCAGACUAUGUAUUCACAUUUUAUGACCAAUUCCUUAUAAUAAAAAGCAUGUUUAAAUUUCAAUUUUCAUUAAAAAUAGCAACUUGAAAUAAAAUUAUUAUCUUUUAAAUAAAUCUCUCCCGUACAAACUCCCUCCAACAGGGGGAAAACUACAAAAGUAAUUAAGGGAAAGAUCUCCAGGCUCUCACUCGAGCGUCCCUGUUCAUCCCCUUUGAAUCCCACCAGUUUAUGUAACUCAAGAAAAAAAAAAAGGGAUGACUUUUCCUAGUCUUUAAUACCACAGAAAAAAAAUAAAGCAUUAAAACACCACAUAAAUGGAAUGUAUUGAAGACAACGAACAUGAUGCUUUUAGAAAAAAAAAAUAACAAUAAAAAUAAAUAAAAAUACAAGUCCAUUUGCAAAUACAAACUACAUAGACAAUGGCAAUGUGACCAUACCCCUCAGUUAUUCUAGCGGUGCUUUUUAGUGCACGCCAUGCAGUUAGCGCAGCAAAAGGAAUUGCACUUGCUUCCUAAAGGAGAAAUUUAUUUGAAAAAAGAAAAAGAUUAUUUUCUGUAGUGAAACAGGAGAGGGAGGAAAGUAGUCAUAAAUGUAGAAUGAACUAAAAAGAAUGCUGGAAAUAAAUACUUCACAGAUUGAUUACAAGGAAACAUAUAUUGUUACUGAGAAGCAGUGGAAAUACAAGUUAGGGGAUUUGGGUUAAAUUCCUACCAUUGAUUAAGGUAUGCAUGAGCACAAAUAUUUACAUUUAUAUAUGAUAAGUAGACAAAGAAAAGCACAAAGUAAGCACCAUGCCUGCGAUGACAAGCCUAUUUUGAGCAAGGAAAAUAGCUUUAUUACCAAAUUGCGCAUUAUAUGGUUGAAUAAUAAUACAAACAAUUUACCUAUAGAGACAAAGACAAUUAAACAAACAAGAAACCAAAAGAACGCUGCAUUUGUCACAAAGUAAUUGUAUACCUAAAAUCAACAGAGAUCAUAGUACAUACCACAUGUGUAACUGAUGCUGGUUUUGGGGUAAGCUCAUCUUCUGAAAGAAUUGCAUAGUCAGUAUAAGUACCUCUCACAGCAGUUGGAUGCAAUGCACCAAAAACUUCUUGCCCAACACUCAGUGAAUGCACUUUAGUUCCAACAGCUGUAACUUCACCACUAAUAUCACGACCCAAAAUGAGAGGUAGCAGAGGUUCAAAUAUGGAACGGCCAUAACCUGAUCGCAUCUGAAAGCAUUAAAAUUUGCAAAUAUUCAAUAUCUUAUUAUACUUAUCCAUUACAGACAUGUCAUACAUUUUCUUUCCCUCUUUUAUUCAAUUUUCUUCUUUGUUUUAUGAACAAUGAUAAUUCACUAAAGUAAGCUUAGUUAAGGGAAGAAGACGCUAGGAACAUGAUGACUCCUUGAGCGUUUACUUAAUAAUUUUUUUAAAAAAAAACUUCAGAAAAAAAAGGCCAUAAUUCCCUGACUUUCAUUUCCCAUGAGAGCUAGUUAAUAAAUAAUAGGAAUGAAAGAAUGAAAAUGAGUUAGCAGUGACUGGAACAAGACAAAAAGGCCUUGAGUUCUAUCUAUACCAUGUCGAAGAUAGGGAUCUACAAAAUCUAAAACAGUUGAACAUGAAUACAGUACGCUCUCUACACCCAAUAUCAACAUUUAUAUUAUCAUUUGCCUCAAUCACACAUAAAUUCAUCAAGCACAGGUCCUUCAUUAAAUAAAUGAACAAACAAACAAAAAGGAACAGAAUCAAACAAGUGUAUCCAUAACACUAGAUCAUUCCUUGUGAAUAGGAAGAAAUAACUCACUCUAGUAUCAAGGGGAUUUACAGAGACAGCACGAGUUCGAACAAGGACUUGAUUGGGCUUAAGCUGGGGGACCUCAACAUCGGAACAUAGCUCCAGCACCUCAGGCCCGCCGAAGCGAGGCAGAAGCACCGCCCUACAAGUGGUGGCGAAAAACCUAACAAAGCCAAACUGGAAGGAUUGGCAAUCACAGUUAACAGCAGCCUUUUUGAAGGAGUAAAGUUUGAAGAAUUGCAUUGCUGGUGUGUUAGUGUAGAGAGUGGAGGUAAAAUGCAUGUGUUUGUGUUCUAAAGUGUUUGGUUAGGGUUUUGGAAUGAAUAAAUGGAGAGCUAGGAGAGCGGAAAGGGGAGAACGUGUCCCUGCUACCAUCCGCAAAUUUGUUGGUUGAAUAAUGUUUUGUUCUGUAUUUAAGUACGCAACCAUAGAAAGGUAAUGUUGGGCGUUUUAAUCCACUCCAGACGGUUUUUUUUUUCCUCAAAUACACUACUAUCUACCUCUGUUUGUUUUUUUUUGUUUUUUUAAGUAAUAGAAAAUUUGUUUAGCAGAAGAUAAGGUUUUUAAAGUGAGAUUUUUGAAAGUGGUUGAACAUCUUUAAAAUUUUUAAUUUUAAUUAGUAGAUUGAUAAUACUUUCUCUUAAUUCUUUUUAAUUUUAAUGAGAUUUUUGAAAGUCUUUGAACAUCUUUAAAUGCCUUAAUUUUAAUUCUUUUUAUUUGAUCUCUAACUAGACCAAUUAGGUGUACAUUCAGUCGGUUCGGUUUAAAAUCGAACCGAAUCGAAUAAACCAAAAAUCAAAAUUUUAGUGUUUAUAAAAAUCGAAUCGAAUUGAUUUUGAUCAGAAAUCGAAUCGAACUGAAACGGUCUGAUUCGGUUCGAUUCGAUUCAAUUUGAUCGAUUUUAAUUUUUAAUAAUUUUUUUAUUUUUUACACUUUAUUUUUAAUAUUUUAAAAUUUAAUUAAAAUAUUUUAAUUUUAAUAUGAUUUAAUUUCUCUAUAUUAUUCAAAAAAUAUAUUAUUAUCACUAAUCAGUUCGGUUUGGUUUUUUUAGUUUUUUUCUCAUCAAAACCGAACCGAACCGAAAUAACUAAAAUUUCUGAAAUUAAAAAUCGAACCGAACCGAAAUAUAUAAAAAAUCAAAUCAAAUUUUUAAAUCAAUUCGAUUCGAUCAGUUUUUUUGAUUUGAACCGAAUAUUGGUCACCCAAGACCAAUCGUAAAAGGUAAAUUGAAGAUUUAUAACACUGUAUCCAAUGAAAACUUUAGAAAGUAAAGUAUGGAUUUAUAAAUAAUAGUCACAUUAAGAAAGGAAAGUUGUUAAAGGUUUUAAAGUCUUUUGCAUCAGAGUAAUUUUAGAGUAUUACGAUUAUAUAUAAUAAUAAAGAAUCAAUUGAAAGGAGGUAUAAAAAGAAUAGAUAUAAGUAGAAUUAAAUUAUAUAUUUUUAUUCAAAAUUUAAAUAAACUGAAUUUAAUUUUUAUGCCAAUUAAGUUAUGACCUAAUUAUAUAUUAUUUUAAUUAUAAUAAAAUAUUUUUAUUAAUAGAAUUUUAUUUUUAUAAUUUUUAAAAUUACUUACUAUUUUUAUAAUUUUUUAAGUUAAUUAAAAUAUUAAAUUUUUAGUUUUUGAAUUAAAAAAUAAUAUUUUAUUAUUAAAAAUAAUUAUAUAUAUAUAUAUAUCAGGACUUAUUAUGGUCCUUACAGAUAUAAAGGCUUAAUUAUUAAAAAAAUUAAAUUAAAUUUAUUUAGCUCUUAAAUCAAAAUCCUAAUGAUUUUGAGAUCCAGAGAUUACAUUGCAAUACUUGACUUAGGGCAACUCAAUUAAAAAAGAGUAAAUGAAUUGAGUUUGGCAGGUAGUAAAUAAGAGUGAUGAAACUGUAUGAUAUAUGACAAUAGAAAAAAUGUUCAGAAGAUGUCAUUUCUGAUGAUUUUGGCAAACAUUUUCAAUCCCCUCAUUAAUUGCGCGUAAUUAAUUAAUUAAUAUUUAACUAAUUUCAAUUAUUUAUUUUUGAUGUGCACAAUAUAUCAAAAUUAUAUCAUAUAAUAUAGAAAUUAAAAUAAAAAUGAAAUUUAAUAUUUUUAAAUAUUCAAUCCAAUUAAAUUAUAAUAGAACGAAUUUAAAUAAUUAUACUUGAGUUUGAGAUGAAUUUAAAUUUUAAAAAAUAAUAUUUAUCAUGAAUUUGAAUAGAAUUUCAAUUUUAUAUACAGCACAUUUACUAUUUAAAAUUAUUUAUAUAAAUAAUAAUUUUAAUAUAAAAAAUAUAUUUUAUAAUAAUAUUUAUAAUUUUUUAUAUAUUUUUAUUUAAAAAAUUAAAAUUUAAAUAUUUUUUAAAUAAAAAUUAUUAAUAAAAAUUUUUUUUUAUAAAUUAUUAAUUAAAAUAUAUAAAAUUAAAUAAAUUUAAAUUUAUUCGAAUAAUAAUAAUUAAAUUUAAAAUGAAUUGCGCCGAACUCCUUUUUUCAAUGUCUUCACAUUAGUCCUGCAUCCAACAAGAACAUUUCCCCGUUAAGCGUAAGACUCUGUUCCCGUGCCAGGCCGGAUAUCAAAUAAAUAAUUUAAAUUAAUUUUUAAUUAAAUUUAAAUUUAAAUAUUAUUAAUAUAAAUUAAAUUUAAAUUUAAAUAAUUUAAUUUUUAUAGUUAUCUACUCGUUUACAUCCCUAAACUAGUAGCUCAGUGGCUGGAUACUUAUCUAGCAAGAGAUUCAAUGGCUGAUAUUUGAUUAGGACCUCCAAAGAUAGUACAUAUUGAAAGGUUUAAAUUGUUAGUUUGUAGUUAGUACCUCAUAUGCGUGUCUUUAUCUUAAGGGAGCACAUUUUAUAUAUUAAUUUUGAUAAUUAUAAUAGAAUAUAGGAUGAAUUUAAAUUUAAAAAAAUAAUAUUUAUUGUGAGUUUAACUUUUAUGUAUUUACUAUUUAAAUUAUUUUAUAAAAAUAAUUAAUUUAAUAUAAGAAAAUAUAUUUUAUAAUAAUAUUUAUAAAUUUUUUUAUGUAUUUUUAUUUAAAAAAUUAAAAUUUAAAUAUUUUUUAAAAAUAUUAAAUUUUUUAAAUAAAAAUUAUUAAUAAAAAAUAUGUUUUAUAUAAAUUAUUAAUUAAUAUAUAUAAAAUUAAACUGAUUCAAAUUUAUUUAAAUAAUAAUUAUAAAUUUAAAUAAUUUAAAUUAAUUUUUAAUAUUGCUAAUAUAAAUGGUGAAGGGAUUAGGAAAACAGCCAUUGCGCUACUACCCUUGUACGGUGUGGACCGCCUCUAACGCCGAAGUAGCAGCAGCCUAACUCCUUCUCCCUCUCUUCAUCACCAACAUCUCCUGAAGACGGCGACGGCGACGACGACGAAGACUGUCACUACCACCGCCAUCUGCACCUUAAUCUCUAACAGCAGGUUCUCCCCUUUCCAAAACCUAGGAUUUAAUAACCCACCAAUGCCUGGAGAUUAAAGAGUAUUAAUGGACAAUUUAACAAGUGAAUUGUUAGUUCUCGUUAUAAUAGGGGAAAUAUUGCAUUUUUGUCCAUGACUAUUGCUAAUAAAUUUUUAGCACAUCUAUUGAUGAAAAUUAUGUCUGCGUGCUUUUUCAUUUUAGCUUUUGUUAGGAUCUCAUGAUAUAGUGAGUAUGUUUGUUGUUUGAGCUGCUCUGAGAAAGCAGGUUGAGUAUGAUAGUUUGAUAUUAAAUAUUGUUAUUUAGGAAUCAUUAAAAUUGAUUUUGUUUUGAUUACUAUGCUUGAAGAACUGAUAAGUCAUAAGAAAGACCACAAUCAAGUUGUGUUAGACUGACUUGUUAAUAAUGUUAAUAUACAGGGACUAAAUAAGAGGUUUUAUUUGAGGGUAAAAUUGGAUUUAUCUCUCAUUCUUCACCUAUUUUUAACGGUUCUUUGACACAGAGAAAAGAUUUAAUAAUGGCAAUACUUAGGACGAAAUAGUAAAUCUCCUAUAAAUAAAAUAAAACACAUUUUUGCUUAUUAUUUGUUUUAGUUUUUGAUUGCGAUGGAUAUUUAGAUUAUAUUUUGUCUGGUCUGAUUUCAGGCCAUGUGGAGAUCACCAGCCAUUUCUUCUCUUGUAAGUCUCUCUCUCUCUCUCUCUCUCUCUCUCUCGAUUAUUGUAUGUUUAGUUGUAUAGUUGGAGUUUAAUUUCUGAUACUGAAUUUGAGCUAGUUGAUGAUUUUACAGGUUGGCCAAUUAGCUCGAGCAGGUGAUGCUUGGAUAAGGAGUCCUAAUUGCAGCUACAAUACAGCGGUGCAAGCUCAAAUUUCUAAUAUAAAUGCAAUAAGAUCUACUUCAAUAUUAGAGGUGCUUUAACAAAUGCAUCACUAAACUACCUUAUUGUUUGGUUAUUAAAUUUGACAUAAAAUAACAGCGUGUUGGAAAGUUAAUGGGAUUAUGUUGAAGUCAAAAUUUGGUAUGUGAUAGAAUAUCAUGAGAUCCACUUAUAGUGAUUUCAUUGCAACCUUGGAGCUCGCAUGCACAAAGGGUUAUAGAAGAAUAUGUUGUAGAUUUUAUAGUAGUCAUUUGAUCUCUAUGUACUUUGGCAGUUUGAUAAACAGACAUUUUAAUGCAAAUCUGCGAGUGUUCUUGCAUUUUAACUAUUACAUAGAAAGCCCAAUUUUUGGAAGUUAAAUAUGAUACUUUUGACUCCCUGUGAGAAAUAGCUAGGAAUGAGCUUUUUAGCUUUCCUUGCAAGUUCCAAGUUAGAGAGUACAAAGAAUUUUUGGUGUAAAGCAUCUUCUUCUUAUUGGUGUCUUCCAUGCUGAAGUCAAAUGGAGAUCUUGAAGUCUUCUCCAAGAAUCAACCUGAGGAUACUCAUCAGCAUCAGCACAGUUUUCCUAACCACAUUGAAUAUUACUAGGGACAAUCAUGUUCUUUUCCUUUUUUUUUUUCUUUUCUAAAUAUGGUUUUCAAGUAAAUGACUUGAUGUUUGUUCCAAUGCAUAGCGUGCAUGAAUUUCAAUUCUUAAGUGAAAUUGGGUAAGAAAAAUCACAUUAUAAAUGCGUAAUUUAUGUUAUUGAUUUGGUUGUAACAUUCUAGAAUCAAUAUGAUCGCAAAGCUGCAUGUGAGAUUGCAGACCAGAAAGCUGGACGAGUGCAGAAAUUUCAGAUUGGGGAGAAUGUUUCCAGGAAUGAUAAGAUCAAAUUUCUUGUAAACACGGUAUGCAUAUGUGAAGUUUCAUAGUGUCCUUAUCUACUGAAAAUGGCGUGUUUGGAAAAUAAUUUGUGUAAGCAGAGUGCUAAUAAUUGUUUUAGCAUUUCAGCUCCCGUUACUCUUCAAUUCUGUGGUAUGACUUUAUGCAGUCGUUUGAAUGUAAUAUGCUUAUUGUAAAUGAAUACAUCAUUUUGUGGGAAAGCAGUCACAUUCUUCUAGGAAAUUAAUCUUUACGCCCUUAAGCUAUUCAUGCUCUCCCCAUGUAAUAUGCUUAUUGUAAAUGAAUACAUCAUUUGUGGCGGCAUUUCUGGUGACGGCACUUCAAGGAGGUGCCGAUCGAAAACCGGCCAGGCUGGUGCCUGGGUGGUGAGGUUAACUGACUUCCAGAAAACCUCCAAAUGAAGGUGGCAGAUCUGCCACUCACAGAUAGGCCAAGAUGCUUGGCUCUGAUACCAUGAAACAGUGAUGAUUAAAAGAAAGAGAGAAAGAGAUUUUGAGAGAAAUAUACUUGAUUAUGUCUCUUAAACCAAUUAGGGUAUAUAUAUUACUUGCAAGAAUAAAUUAAUUUCCUAAUCAUAUACCUAUCAUAUCACACAAUCAUAUCUCUAAUUGUGCACACAAUCACUACAAAUCAAGGCUAUUUAUAGAAAGUAUCUCAACAUUUAGCUUACCUUAGGUAUCAGAAAAUAUACCAAGUUUUAGAGUUCCUCUGUGACAUUGGCAUUUGGAUAAAAUUCAACUUUGUUCUUUCUCAUUCUUCAUAGGAAACAAGUCUGCCUAAAGUCUUCUAUUUAACUUGAAAGACCCCUCAAAAUUUAUAAAAUCUAUUUGUGGUUGCCUUUUGUGAUUUUCAUGGGUGUGUGCAUUUGAUUUUCAUGCAUAUUGUUUUUGUCACUGACAUUUCAUUUUUCACUCUACAUAGUAAUAUAUACAUGAUGUGCUGAUCUAACUCAAAUAGGUUGUGUGUGUGCAUUAUUAUCUUAUAGAUGAAAUUGGGUGAUGCAAAGUAUAUGCUAGGUUUUUGGAUUCAAUGAGCUCUUUGUACCCUUGUAUUAUUUGUAUAAUGAGGCAUUGACUGGUUCAAUUGUAAGAUUACUUCUGACUUACAAUUUAAUAUAUGAACAUUUACCUGGAAUUUUUAGUGUCUUUUCCCUACAAUGGGAGCCAAAAGAUUGAUCUUGGUAUUUCUUUUCCCAUACAAAUCCGACUGAUUGGGUAAGCUGAUGAGAACUUUAUCUGUGCAGCUUCUUGAUCUUGACAAUAGUAGAGAGGCUGUUUAUGGUACUCUUGAUGCCUGGGUUGCGUGGGAGCGAACAUUCCCUAUUGUGUCCCUUAAGAGCGUUUUGCUUACACUUGAAAAGGAACAGCAGUGGCACAGAGUUGUUCAGGUCUCUCUUUCUCUUCCUCUUCACUCCCCUUUCAAAAAAAAAAAAAAAGAGCAGCAAGCCUGAUCUUCCAGUCAAGCUGAAUAAUGCCAGAGGCACUCCACUGAGAAACACCUUGUUCUACAGUAGAUUAAAAGACAAAAGUUGUUUCAUUCAUGCGUUCCUCCUAUCUUCAGCAUCUUUUCUACCAUGAAACUUUCUUUUUAAAGAGAAAACCAAAAAGAAACAAAAGCAUUUAAAGCCUAAUGCAUUAUAUAUAUAUAUAUAUAUUUACAUAUAUAUUAGAGAGAGAGGGGGGUUAAUGACUAAUCCCAAAGUAAGAAAAUUUCUAAAUGGAAAGCUUCAAUUUUCUGAAAUAAAUCUGAUGAUAUUGAUAAUUAUAGUGACAUAACGAUAUUAACAUCAGUUACAUAACAUAAUAACAAAAAUAACGAUAUGAACAUCAGCUGUAUAACAUAAUAACAAAAAUAACUAUGAAAAUAACUUCUUAAAAGGGCUAAUCCCAAAGAGAAAUUAUAAAUAGACAGCUUCAAUUAUCUGAAUAAAAUUUGAUGAUAUUGACCUAACAAUGUAAACAUUAUCCAUGUAUCACAUAAAAAACAGUAAAAUAACUUACAGAAUGGCAGUUUAAGAUAACAUAAUGCAGUCCCUUUUGUUAUACUAUGCCCACUGGAUGUUGUUGUUGUUUUGUAAUUUUUUUCUUAUUUGUGGCUGUUUAUUAAUGUCCUCUAGGUAAUUAAAUGGAUGCUAAGCAAGGGGCAGGGAAAUACAAUGGGAACAUAUGGGCAGUUAUUGCAAGCCUUAGAUAAGGACCAUAGAGCUGAAGAAGCACACAUGUUUUGGUUGAAGAAAGUUGGUACAGAUCUUCACUCGGUCCCUUGGCAGUUAUGCAAGCGCAUGAUAUCCAUAUACUAUAGAAACAACAUGCUAGAGAGCCUCAUAAAGGUAUGUUUCCCAUGCUUUGUGUAAGUUGAAAUGGAUUAUCAUAUUGUGAUUUAGUUCUAUUGCUUAGAUGCUAAUCCAUUUUAUUUAUACCUAUCAUAAUUCCUAAUUUAGGAUCAAUUUAUUUUUCCUUUUAGAAUUGAAUACUUUAUUCUUUAGAGGUCUUUAUUUUUAAUAUCAUGUAUUAUUUAAACUCUCAUGAGCUUUCUGAAAGCUUGUUUGAUUACAUUAAUUCCACAAAAUUUUAUGGAAUUUAUUUAAAAUCUACACUUAAAAUGUUUGGUUUUUAAAAAAUUCCAUUCGGAAUUUUUACAUCAUUAAUUACAUGGAAUUGGUUAUAUUUAAGCCAAAUCCUGACAAUAUAUAUUUAAUAAUUAGGAAACUGUAUAUAAGAAUCCAUUCACAAACAAAAUUAGGAAACUGUAUAAAAGAAUCCAUUCACAAGCAAAUUUUAUUUAUGGAAUUCCCAUCUUCAUUUGAUCAGUGUGAUGUUAAAAUCAAAAUCCUUAAGAGUUAGUUUUGGAGCCCAAUGUCUUGAUUUAGGAUGAUCUUUUAGUCUAUAAAUACCUAGUUUAUAAUGCUUGUUCAAUUUUUUCAAUCAAUGAAAAUUCUUGUAAAGUUUGCUUCUUGAGUUGGAUGAUGCAACUCUUGUGAAGCAAAAUUCUUUAUUUAUUUUCAUCUAUUUUUGAUGGGUGUGGUUCCUAGUACCAAUCUGCAAGCUGUUCUAUCAUUCUAUGUGAAUCCAAUUUUACUUUUGGGGUGUAUACAUCUAUAAUGGUAUGGUCUUACCUUUGGGAUCUAAUUUGACUAAGGUUACUUUAUUGCUAACUUUCUAACCAUAGUUUUAGAAAGCUUUUAAAAUCUAGACUGAAUUUGGUUUUUUGUCAACUUUUUCAUAUAUUGCUGAUAUUUGCAGUGCAUGUAGUCUGUUUUGAUUAUAUUGAUCUCAAAACUUUCAGGCUCUAGGACGGUCCUUUGUCACUCCAACAUCCAGUUAACCUCAAUUCUUGUCUCAAGUCUUAACAGCAUUACAUUAUUGGAAAAGAUCGUGCACCAAGGGUUAUCCUUUUGUGUAGGAUACAGUUGUUUAGGGAAUAUCCUAAACCAAGUUUAUAAUAGAGUCCUAGGUUCAAAAAUUCUUAUGCUCUCCUUGAAUGGAGGAAAGAUUAGAUUAAUUUUCCUCUAAUGUGCCCAAAAUGCUGGAGCAUAAUUUCUUGUUGAUUUUCAAUGGUAAAACUGAGUAAUAAAAAUAAUUCAUUUCUUGACAUGCUUUUCGUGAAAAUCUUUCCCUUAGCAAGUUGUGGGGAAUCUAUGUAAAGAAUCCCAAAGUAUGAGGACUACUAAUAAAUUCCAAAUCUGAAAUAAGAAGAUUUGGUAAUAAUUUUAUAAUGUUGUAUUAAUUUGAGAAAUUGGUUGCAAAGUUUAGCCAUUUUGUCAAAAUGAAACAUAAUAUUUAGUAUUUAAUAAAAUCGAAAAAAUAGUUUCAAUACAAUGCUAGGAUUAUCCAAUAUGAUGAUUUUGUUACAGAAACAACAAUUGAUGUACAUGUAUAAGCAUACAAAUUUUUGUCCUCACGAUAUUCGUUUUUUGUUCAAAAGUUGCAUGUAAUAGAGGAAGGUUAAUCUUAUUGUAGCUGAAUUUGCAGUGUUUAGGUCUUUUAGGGCUGUUAUUGUGGACAGCUGCAUGUGAUAUACAUAUAAUUGUAAUUUUUAAUGGUUUGAAACCUUUUAUUAAGUUACUACCAUAAGUUGAAGUUGGAGUUAUUCACUUCUUAUUUCCUGAUAAAAUGAUAAGUUGAAAUUCUGUUGCACUGUACUAACUUUUGUUGUCUUGUCACUUGGAUUUCAUAGCUUUUCAAGAGCCUGGAAGCUUUUGAUCGCAAACCUCCAGAAAAAUCAAUUAUCCAGAAAGUGGCAGAUGCAUACAUGAUGCUAGGUAUGCUCGAAGAAAAAAAGCGUGCACUGCAAAAGUAUAAUUAUCUUUUCCAAGAAACAGAGAAAGGAUGCCUCAAGAAAUCUAGAAACACCUCAUCUAAGAAGAAGUCGGGUAAGCCCUUCUUAAGCAUGAUCAUUGAUAUGCCAAUUUCAUAUCACAAACAAAUCACAUAACUUAAACUGUCCUAGUCAUGCCAACAAACAAAGAAAUUGUCUAACAUGAAAUUCAUCAUUAAUUUGAGAACUAGGAUAGUGGAGAGCUUCAACAAAUCUAAAAGUUGACUAGCUGAAGUUUAACAGCAGCUACCUAAUUAAAUAUAUGAUGUAUCCUUUGGUUUGAGACAUGAGCAUAUACCUUACCUCAUUAAAUAUAUGCCAAGUCAAGUUCUGCCUGUGCUCAUGUCCAAAGCCGCAUAAAUAAUUUCCAUUUGUUAAGUUCCAUGUCCUUGUUAUCUAUAUAUUAGCUUUCGGGUUCUAGUGGAGCUUGGCAGUGUAUCUGUGUUGCUAUAUUCAUGAAGAAAAGGAGCUCUUUGACUCGAUUCAUUUUUUGCUUCUUUAGGGCACAGAAAACACACAUCAAAUUCAGAAGCCUGUAUGGAAAGCUUACAAUAACCAGAGUUAUCCCUUUUUCUCCUAUGCAUGAAUACCUCUUCCAUGGCUGAGCAUCUUUGCUUCUCAGUUGCCAUACCAUGAAACACUUUGAAUCUUUCAAUGUACUUCAAGCAUAGUUAGCCACUUGAAUACCAAUGCUUUGGGGCGUGCAUUAUAUUGCAAAGCAGCAAAGAUAUAUUGAUUCACUUAAAAGUUAUGCUACACCAAAUCCCAAGUUUUCUUGCUUCCAGGAUGAUGGUAACAGUUUGAUUUGUGGAAGAUUAUCCAAGGCUGGGAUCUUGUACGAGUGCUGGAUUGUUGUUGGUUGAUGGUUGUGUUUAUCGAGCACAUUUCUUCUUUAACACUCCUCUUUAAAAUGAUCAAAUGCUUUCAAGGUGCGAAGGAGAUGCGAUUUACAGGUAAUAUAAUCCACAGUGAUUCUCCUUGGUAUUAAAUCCGCCAUGUUCUUUGUUUUGGCUUAAAACUGCCAGCGACUGUUAGAGUAUUAUUGUGAAUUUGUUGUGUGACCUCCUUUCCUUUAUAUGUUCAGCUUCAUCAUUGUGUUUGGACUGUGAUUUGUCGACUUCUUGGGAAAUUCAAGGUGGAAAAAAAGAGAAAAAAGAACAGUACCUGUCUGUAUUUAUGUCUACUAAAAACAAUGAAAUGAUGAUUUUGCAUUAAUUUUGUUUUAUUUUUUUUCUUUUUAUUGUAAAAAUGUUUAGAAGCUAUUUUUCUACUUGGAUCGACAUUUUUAUUUUUUUGAUAAUAAAAUAUCAUUUCCAAUUACUUUUAAUUUAAGCAACAUAUUGAAGAUCAAGCCUUCUUUUCCAAUAGUGAAAAUGAUACUUCAUAGGUACGCUUGGUUAAUGUGUUAAUACCGUGAAGUAAAGCAAGACCUAUAAGGUGGCAAUACGUUACAACUUUUAUCUGGAAGAAGGUAUGAGCAAAAUGCAGAGAAUUCUCCAGCUUCCUGCUGCCUCUCUCCAUAGCCAGAAUAGGUGGAUUUUGCUUGGUCACCAGCCAGGUCCAAUGUGUUUAACGAUAAUCUCAAAAGAUAAGUAGUUCAUCCCAAAAUCCAGGAUUUUGUGUUGAUAGAUUAAGGAAUAUUUCGGCAACUGAGGAAAUCUCUAUAAGCGAGGGAAUUAUUGAAGAUCCUACAUGUUAUUCAAGUAGAGAAUGUUUAGAGCAAAUGAGUUUAGUAAUGAGGGAGGGACUUGUGCAUCGCUACAAAAAGUUAUGAUAGAGAUACGUGGUUAAGGAAAAUAUGUAACAGCUCUGAUACCACGUAGCUAGAAUGAUGCAUUAAAUCAUUGCUCAUACAUUUCUUCCACAUAUCAGCCAGCAAGUUUCGUGCAUGAGCUGGUGAUAGCCGCAUUGAGCAUCACAUCUUAAAGCACGAAGAAACCAAUUACCAGGUUGUAUCUUGAAUUAGCUACAUAAAAAAGAAAAAGAAAAAGAAAAAGAAAAAAGAAAGAAAGAAACAAAAAGUCUUGGCUUGUUUCUUGAGACACUAAGGUUGUAUUCAGCAUUUAUUUCAAGCUAAUAACAGUGAGCAAUUGCCAUUUGCAAUAGAGAUGGCAAUGUCUUUGGAGGUGUUCUUUUGGCAAACUGUGGAAAUGAAUAUAAUUAUAGUUCAGUUCCUUGUGUGUUUCAGCUGUUUCUGUUGUCAAGUCUCAAUGGCAAUGGAAGUAACCUCACAGUUUUGCAGAUGGUAUUGCAGAUUGCUUUGCAGAAGUAUAAGAAAAUAUCUAAUAGCACUGAAUAAUCCCUUUUUUUUUCUUUGAAUAACUAUUAACUAGAUAUAUUAUAAAUUAAAUGCCUCCUAUUCAGAAAACAUUAAAUUACUUACCAAAAAAAUUUAUUUUUGGUUAUUGCUAUUUAUCUAAAAAAUACAAAUCUACUAUAAAUUUAUCUAGUAAAAUAUAUGAAUCGUUCUAUAACUAGAGUUGUAUAUUCAUAGACAACAUAAAAUUAAGAAAUUAUAUUUUAAUUCUAAGAUAUUUAAAGUAAGUUUUAUCUUUUGCUAUUCUCAUUGAUUACCAAUAAUUUACAAUCAACUCUCUGGAUUUUGUUAAAAUUAAGGAUUUAAUAUUAAAUCAUUCAAUAAGAACAACUAUAUAUUUUAUGAAAUGAAAUAAAUUAAGAUAUUUUGUUGAAGAAACGUUAGUUAAUUAAGUACUUAAUUUAAUUAACAAUUAGAAACUAAUAUUAAUUAGCAGUUAGAAACUAAUAUAUUUUUAAAAAAUAAGAUGCUUUAAAAUUAAAAAUAUGAAAGUUAAUAGAAAACUAUAUAUAAAAAUAUUCAAUAAAAAUAUAUAUAACAAAUAAAAAUAAUAUCCCACACAUAUGAAAGUAGAAAGGAGGGAACAAUAAAAUUAUCAAAACUACCCAUUAUAGUUUAAUUUUAUUAUAAUAAAUAAAUAAAUUUAAUUGGUUAUUAAAACGAGAAAGGUGAAGAAGCAACCUCAUUACACGGAUUGAUCUCCCUACGACCACUAAGUCCUACAAAUUUAUCCCUAAACAACAAUAAAGGACAUUUAUCAAUUAAAUGUGAACCAUCAUAGGCUUCCUUGAGGAACACAGUACUUCUAGCACCUUUGUUGGUCAUAUAAAAUAUGCCAUGAUGCUUUAUCAAACAAAGCAGUAAUCUAGAUGGUAACAAAUACUCGGAAUGAAAUGCAUCCAAUUGUAUAGAAUUCAACCUCUUUUCCAUAGUUAAGCUAAGAAGUUCAUGAAGCACAGCCACAACACGUUUUCGUGCCUUUGGAUCAGCAACUUCAAAUCUCCUUGCAUUCAGAUAUGGAGAAGGGAAUUCCAGUCUAUGCCACCUCUCUAGUUCAUCAAGAUAAUUCGCAUUUGGCCUAAAACCAGUAGGAAAACACAUUUUAAAGGCAAAUGGACCCAAGAAAUUACCAUCCUUUGAUAUUCUAACCUUCUUCUUGGGCGGAUUGGAGAGAGUAACUCCUUCACUUGUUAAUCUUUCCUCGCGAACAGUGACUGCUAACGUAGAAUCCCAGUUCUCCAAAUGAAGAUAAGCUUUCCCACUGACAUCUUUCACUGAAAAAAAUUCUGGGUACUUUGGAAUCAAUGAUUUCUUGAAAUCUUGGGGCAAACCUAAUUCAUUCUCAAUGAAUUCAAUCUUUUCUAGUGGCAACCUACAAUCAACUGCCAUCAUUAACAACUUCCUCAAGUUCUUAACCAGAAUGGGUUCCAUUAACUCCCUAGCUUCAGCUUCCUCGUUGGCAACCUUCCUAGCCUUCUCAGUGAGUGUAACAAAAGGAGGCGCACGACUAUCAGCACCAACAUGGAAUAUUGAAGGAUACUUCUCAAUGACAGCCAUAAAGUUCCAUUUCUGGACAAAGCCAACUUGCUUCUCAAGGUUUCGUAGGAGGAGAUGUUGGUGUUUUUGUGAUUGAAUAAUGGCUUUAAGGUGUAAGAUAAGAGAUGGCUUCUUCUGUAAGUCCAUGACUCGAUCAAGCUCAUGGACUCUAUGGUAUAUCUUCUUUUUGGGUCUUCUUCCUCCACUUGAUUUUUGCUUCAGUGAUAUCAACAUUGCACUUGAUUUUUGAAAUGGAAAUGGGAAUGCAGAGACAUCUUUUUUGUAUAAAAGAAAGGAUUUCGAAGAUUGAUGGAAGCAAGAAAAAAUGGAUGUUCUAUGCAUGUUGGAGGGAAAAAAACAGGUUUCAGUGAGAGAUAAAAUCAAACAGUUGGAGUGCAGUAUGGCUAUGCCUUCAGAUGUGCUAAAAAAUUACUACAUAAGGUAAAAUAAAUACUAAGAAUUCCAACAGCCAGGCAUGACACUGGUUUUAGCAUAUAGCACUAGAAAUUGAGAUUUAAGAGAUCACCUCCUGAAAUCAACAGGAAUAGGAUGACCAUUGAGAAGGAAAGGGGCCGAUCAAAAAGGAAUAAAGAAUCCGUAGAAGUGAAACGCAGCAUUUUCUUUUGCUUGUGUUGUUCCUGUACUUUCGUGAGAAAUGGGCUUAAUAUAAAAAAGUUAACAUUUACUUAAAGAUCGAACCUCUAAAUCUGUCUGCCAUGAAGCACAAGAAAGAAUUGUUUCCCAUAUGACUGCUGAGUUGUCCAUGUGCAAGAUUAAAAUAUUUCAAUAAUGAUUUCAAUCUUUACAUAAAUCUGUUUCUUAAAUAUUAUUAGUUAAAAGUUCUAUUUCAGGAAAAACAAUUUUAAAUGUUUGGGUUAAUUUAUAAUUAUAAGAAAUUUUUUUCUAAAUCUUUAAUGAUGAAGAUUUUACAAUUUGUUACAGCCAACAAAUUAAAUUGUAUUUAAAAAAAUUAACGAUAUAUUAUAAUGUAGUCUUCAAAAUUUUAUUUAAUUAUUAAAAAAAUUCUUUAAAUAAAUGUUUUUAUUUCAACAUAUUUUUUUAGUCAUUUGCACUAUAAAAAUUUCAAAUAUUAAAAACUUUAAAGAUUAUAAUAUUUUAUUUAAUAUUCAAUUAAUUAAAUAUUUUAUUAUUUAAAAAUUUUAUAAAUUAAUAGAUCAUGUAAUUAUAUUUUAAAUGUUAUCUAGAAAAUAAAAUUGUUCAUUUUUAGAAUUAAAAGGUUAUAAAUUUAUUAAUAAAAAGAAAACUUUAGAAUCUUUAUUAUAAUACAUCACUUAAGUUUUUUAAUUCAAUUUAUUCCUCAUACUAUAUUUGUAAUAAAUUGCAAGAAUUUUUUUUUUCUUGAAAUAGGGGUUGGGGGAGUCGAACCUUAGACCUUUCAAGGCUACAGGAUGCACUUUCCACCAGACUAAGCCUUGGAGUGCAUAAAUUGCAAGAAUUUAAUUUUAUUAUUCAAUAGUUUAAAAUUUUAAUUAUAAAAAAUCAACAUAUUAGUUGCAAUUUUCCAUCGCAUAAAUGUGACGAGGAUAUGUUGUGGGAUUGAUAGUUUAUUAAUCUUUUUCUUCUUCACGCUCUCUAUUUACCGUUGGAAACUAUGAUAGCAGUCCAUAUUUAGAGGAUAAUAAUCACGUAUCAUGAAAAGGCACUUCUUCCAAACAAUUUCUCAUAAAGUCUGCUUUUCACGCGCAAAGAAUUGAGUGACUUAUUUAGACAGUCAAGGUAUGAGACUGUAUUUGAAAAGUUAAAGUUGCUAAGCUUAUACAACUUGGCAAGUCAAUGAUUAAUUGUGAAAGACGACAUAAAGAUUCUACUCUCAUUGUGUGUUGGGGUUAUGGAAGACAUAAACCAUCUUUUCAAAUAUUAUCAUAAAGCCAGAUAGAUAUGAGGUCUAUUCUGGGAUUCGAUUCCUUGCAAUUUCUAUAUACUAGAUCGAUAAAGGACUGAAUACUGGUGCAUCAGAUUUAUGUUCAUAACCAAAUUUGAUCUCUUCUUCCAAAAUUUGAUCUCUUCCUCCAACAAGUCUUAUGUGUAUUUUAUAUUUAUUGUGAAAUCAUGUCUAACUUUAUAGUUAUUGUGAAAAUGGAGAAAUGAUUGGACUUUUAAUGGUUCAAUCUUAUUUUUGAAUAAUAAAUUUGGUUAAAUUAAGAGUUAUUUGUGUUUGAAUAAUGCGACUUGAGAUGAGUGAUUUAUUGUUAAGAAUUAUUAGACUAUAUCGAUAUCAUGAAGUUUUUCAAAGGAGGAUUGGAUGAAAUUAAAUAUUGAUAGUGCUUUUAAAAAUAAUCCGAGUUAUGUAGGUGGUGGUGUUGUUUUAUGUGAUAGCAAAUAUUUUUUGUUAGAUAGAUUUACGAUCAAACUGAAGUUUUGUAAUUCAUUGCAAUUUGCAUAUAGCUUAGACACAUAAUAAUGCGUUGCAAUUUGCGUAUGGCUUGAAUGUAUGGCUUGAAUGUAUAAUAGUCCGCGAGUUCAGAUUAAAGUUAAUUUAACAUCAAUAUCACGUAUUUUAAGUUUAAUCUCUCAAAUAUAAUUUUUUGACUUUAACAGACUGAAAAAAGAUAUUAUUAUUGUGAAGCGAAUAAAAUAACCAAUGGAUUGACCAAUUUUAUCAUAGAAAACACCAUAUAGAGUAAUAACCUCUGUAUCAAAAAAAAAAAUCUAACAUAAAUGUCUAGACUUUUUCGUCUAGAAUAAGUACAAUAUUUAAAUAUUUAAAAUGAAUUUUCUUUUUCCUAAAGCUUUUCCUCCCUCCCAAUAGCAAGUUCAGUUUUGAAUGGAAGUUCCAAUCUUUAUCCGCAAGAAAUGAAAGAACGAAUAGGGGAAAAGGGAAUACCUUCCAAAUUAGCAACACAGAGUACACUCAACUCUAUGCUUCAGGCAGCGGGAAGGAAUACGGCAUCUUUGUAUAUCAAGGCAAAUAAAUGAAACUGCUAUCCCUAUGACAUUGUUUGUCAAAAGUAGAAAUUUUAACUAGGCUAAUGGUAAUAUUCAACAUAGGUACAACUUGUAGAAGAAAUAGGUUACUUAGGUGAAUGGAUAUUCAUACUGCCACUUUGGCUCACAUGCGCUUUCCACAAUCUUCCCAACAAACUUUCUGAAAAAUAUUUCUGAGUCAAGGAGGGGGUAAACCUCUUGCAAACAACCUCACUUCCAAGACCUAACCAACCAAAUGAACUAAAAAAAAAAUAAAAAAUAAGAAGGAAUAUACAGAAACAAAUAAACAGGAGAUAUCUUCACACCUCUACAUUGCAUUCCAACGUAGAUGAUGGUUAGUCAAAGCUUGACGUGCGGCUCCAUCUCCCCUGUAAGUAAUCCUCUAUUGAGACACCUUGUUCAGUGCUGCUCAUGGAAAGAGAAUCAUCAUCUAAAUCUAGCAACGCAAGAUUAAGAUGGGUUUGGAUAUUAGUAGGAAAUGCUUCCCCAUCCUCAGUAUCAACUUCUUCUGAUGCACUAACUUGUUGUCUCGCCCAAUCUGUUACUUCCUCAUCACCUUGAAGAAGCUUUAAAACCUGCGGACAACCAAAACAAAUCCAGAGGAAAUCAUGUCAGUCUAUAGAAAAGUGAAAUAUCAAACCUACAAUAAACACAAAAACAUAAAAACUACUAUGAGAAACUCGGUAAAAUAGAACUCACAAGGCUGAUUUGUGGCCGAAAUAUGGGAGAACAACUGAUGCAGAGGGUUGCAGCUAAAACCAUUCUCGCAAUCUGAUCAUCAUCAUACUCUGUUCUUAUAUUCGGAUCAAGUAAUUGGGAAACUUUACCACCCUCUAGAAUCGGCCUUGCCUGUAUCCCAGAACAAUCCCAUAUUAAAGAAAUAAAUAAAAUCUAUAUGAGUAGUAGACUUCCAGAACUUUCAGCUAGAAUUCCUCAAACAAUGACAGCAACAGAAUCUCACAAUUAGUGGAAGGAGAAAGAUGUUCCUGACAUGUCCUAAACAAGUGAUGGAGAACUCAUGACUUCCCUAUGUUCUCUAACAUGGGUUCAAAAACUCAAUUAUCCAAAUUCUUCUUGACACUAGAAAAGAGUUUUUCAAGCUCAAUUCAUUGUAAGAAAAAUAAAUAGAUAGGUAACUAAAUAAAACAAACCAUUCUACUGAGAAUUUGCACAUCAUGCCAUAAUUCAGAAAGGAGAAAUUGAAAGGUGGAAGUAGAAAAUAUUACCCACAUAACAAGACUCCCCUGGCCCUUUGGAUUUUCGUCAUCAAUUGGCAUCCUACCAGUAAGAAGCUCAAGAAGCACAACACCAAAUGCAAAGACAUCAACUUUGUCACUCAUUUUGCCAUGCAUGAUAUACUCAGGAGCCAAGUAACUGCGUAAAAGAGAGAACUAUUAAAUAUACAAGUGACUGAGAAAAUAGGUAGAGCUAUGAAAAACAAGCAAAUUACUCACCCAAAUGUUCCUGCAACAUCAGUGCAAGAUGUUGAAACCCAGCUUGCUAAUCCAAAAUCUGAUAGCUGGAGAAAGGAAAAUAUGAGCAUCAGAAGCAACAAAUAAAUAAACAAAGUUUUAAAUAACCUCAAGAGGUUGCACCUGUGGCUCAAAAUCAUCAGACAGAAGUAUGUUUGAAGAUUUCACAUCCCUGUGGAUCACAGGCUGAUCAUAGAGAUUGUGUAGGUAGUCAAGUGCCUCAGCUACACCCACAGCCACCUUAUAUCGCUCUUGCCAGCCAAAAGCAUUUCUGCCCUUCUUAUUACCUAAAUUAGAAAGUAGCAGUUAGAAAUUAGGAAUCAACCCUAAAGAAUGAGAAAACAAAAAUUUCAUCAAAUCGAAGACAGAAAAAGUCAUUUACCGUGAAGGUUCUCUUCUAGGCUUCCUCUUGACAAAAAAUCAUAAACCAAGAGUAAAUUGUUGUGCUCAAAACAGAAACCAAAUAAAGAGAUUAUGUUCUUAUGAUGCAAUUGUGUAAUGAUCUCAAUUUCUGCAACAAACUCUUUUAACGCAUCUUCAGAUGGCUUCAAAAUUUUCACUGCCAAUUCUUUGCCAUCAGGAAGACAACCUUUGUAAACAUGACUACUACCGCCUUUGCCAACCAUAUUUUCUGAAAAUUAUAAUUCAAUAGCAAAUUAGUGAAAUUGAAAAAAAAUCUGCCAAAAUCAAAAUUAAUGCCAUGAAAUUUGGAUCAAGAAAGCAAACCAGGCAAGAAGUUAGAAGUGGCUAAACAAAGUUCCUCAUAGCUGAACAGUCUACAUGAUGAUGAAUACUUCUCAUGUAGACCUUUCAACUCUUCAGGAAGGCCAUUUGAACCAUGGCAUGGUGAGACGGGCGACCAUGCAACCUUAUGGCCCACCAUUGGCACAAUUGCACCAUUCUCCCCUUCCAAAUUGGAAGAGUGGUCUUCUGUAAUGCUCAGAACAGUCUGCUUUUUAUCAGGAUACACUACUGAUGAAGAAUUCCAGCUUGGCAAUUUCAAUACACUUUUAACCACAGAAUUCUUUUUUACUCUAGAUUUCUCUGUGUGUCGAUGCUUGGGUAGAAAUAUCCAGCGAAGAAAUGACCAACCCUGUUUACUCUCCAGUGUAGAGUCAAAAUUUGACACACCCUUUCUUGUUUGAACUGGUACCAAGGCCAAUGAAUUAUCAACAUCACCAUCAUUAUGUGACUCAUCAAGUAAAUCAGUUCCAGAAGCAUCAGGCAAGUUGUUGGAUCUUUGCGAACGACUUUGACUUUCUUGCUUUAAUUUAUCUGCCACCACAAAAUCAGAUGCAUUUGUUAAAACUACUAUACUAUUGCUCUAAUAUAUGGGAAAAACAAUUCAUUCAAGCACAAAACAACAAAACUUAGCAUAUAUAUGAAAUCACAUGACAGAACCGAUCAUAAAAUGAGCUUUGUUCUUGGAUGAAAACAAAAACCAUAAAAAAAAUAAGAAAAAAAUAAAUAAAUAAAGAAACAGGACAGAUCAAAUCAACCUUGUAAAUGAGGGGUUGCUUCUCUUCGGAAUAUGAUUUUGCCAUUACUAACAGCAUAGACCGAGAAACUCUUUGACAAAUUUCUGGCGCAAUACUUAGCUACUGAAGUUGAGGAACUGAUUUUGUGAUGGGUCUUAGAAGUUCCCACGACAAUCUUAGCUGCACCACUUGAUUUUGCUUCUCUUACCAGAAUUUUCUUCGCUGAUGAACCUCUGCACACUUUUAGCUUCAAAUCUACCUGUAACGAUUAAUACAAUUCAAUCAUGCCACUCCUACUUCCUUCUUCCAUAACUAAAAAUGCAUAUGCAAAAAAGAUGAAAGAUACUUUCCCUCUAUUUACUGGUUAUAAAUAAUGGGAGAGAAGGGCUAAAAUAAGGAAAACGAUCACAAUAACAGGAUGAAUUAAAUCUUAAAAGAUAAAUUUGGCGAGGAAAAAAGCUGUGGUCAACUUAAGAUUAUAAUCAUGAAAUUGGUCUACAUCCCAUCAUUUUCUCAGGAAUCAAACAAGAGCUGGAGAGAGAAACCUGCUUCAAGUUGCAGAAACCUUCAUACACUGCCAACAAAGAAUCAAAUGUCUUUACUAGAGACAGAAGCGAUGUUGUGCCUCCUACAAAAUCUACAAGAAAAAUCCACAUAACAAAAUUAUUUGUUCAUUGAAAAAAAAAAACGAGAGAUAGAGAGGUAAAUGCGAGUGACGAUGAAGCCGGUAACCGUACCAGUAAUAGAUUCGAGAACGUGAACAGCAAUGACAUGGUCACCUGGCUUUGCCUCUUUCAUUAGCGCCCACGUAAGCAAUUCUCUGCUCUCCGCAUCGAACUUGACCCCUACCACCAGCACUUCUCCUCCCUCCUCACCGUCGCCUGCCAUAGCCACCGCCGCACCGACCGUCCUUUCUCUGAUAAGCUUCAUCUCUCUCUUUCUCUGUCUCUCUAAAGCGAAAAAGGGACAGAGAUGCGUUGUUUCAUUGGCAGGGUUGGGUCUGAGUUAGUGGCUUUUGUGCAUAUGGGGAAGCGAGAAAUCGAAUCAUUCCUAGCGAUCGUACAUUACCCACAGCGACUAAUAUUUCAUUCAUUUCCUCUUUUUAACUGUUUCAUGGAAAUAUUAUGCUGUUACCAGCUCUAUCAUGCUUGUUACAGUCUCAGCCAUUGGAUGCCUUUCGCGCUUCUGAUUUUGAUUCGAUGUGUCGAGAUGCUGCGUUUUGGAUUCCACAUGCAUUGCAGGACAGGAGCUGAUAGAGGACAAAACACGCAUGCCCAAACGAGGAGAAUAAACUUAGACCACUACGCUACUCAAUUUGAAGCUUCUCAUUUAUUGUGUUUUUUUUUAAUCUAAAUUACAAAAAAGUCCCACUAAAAUGUGAUUCUUUCAUUCAUUUUCUAUAUUCUAAAACAAUUAACAUGUGAUUCACUAAUACUUUUGAUGUCAACUAAAAAAUAUUAAUAUAUUUAUUUUGCAUUUUCUCUAAAUACAUUUAUCAUUUUGAGAAAAAAAUAAAAUUAUUAUUUUUUCUCUAGUGAGAUUUUUUUGUGCAAAAAGAUAAUUAUUAUCGUCAUUUAUGAAUUAUGAUGACUAAUUAAAUUUUUUUCCUUCUGUAAUAAAGUAGGUGAAUCAUUUCUCUUCUUUAUCCUUAUAGAUUUGUUGCGGGGGAUUAAUAGCACAUAAAUAUUAAUUAAUUAAGAAACCAUAAAUCUUCAUUACUCAUAUCAAAAAAUCAUUAAAAUUAAAAUAUUGGUUGUAUUUGACUGUAUUUUUUAUUUAAAUAAUAUUAUUUUUUAAAAUUUAUUAAUUAAAUUUUUAUAUCAAUAAAUUAUUUAAAAUUAAAAUACAUAAUAAACAAAUUAAAAGCUCUAUGAAUAAUAAGUGAAAUAGUUAUAAUAUUAUUAAAAAAACUUAUACUUUUGCGUUUGUUUAUUUUUUUUUUUUUAAAAAGAAUAGCAAAGACAUGAGAAAGAAAUAGUGUUUAAGAUGUGACAAAAGGAGAAUUAAUUGUUCUUUUUUGUCAAAUUCAUUUGGUUACAUAUAUUUGUCAAAUCUUUUAAUAUGAAAGUUGAACAAAAUCCAUUUGUUUGAUGACAAUGGACCCACAAAUAUCUUAGUGAUCUAAUGGAUGUAAUUAGUGAGGUUUAGAUUUUUUUUUUUUAUUUUAGAAAAAAAAUCAGAAAGUGAUUGUCAUAAAACUUUUUAAAAGCAUAUUUUUCUUUCUCUAAAUAAAAAAAUCUAAUAUCAAUUUAAUUUUUAUAUGAUAAUAAAUUAAUCAUUAUUGAAAUGUACGUAAAAUUUUUAUAUAAAUAUGUAAUGAAAAGCUUAUUUUUAUAUUUAAAAUUAUAAAAAAAUUUAUUUAAAAAGUUAUAAAUUCUAAUUAAAAUGGUAAAUUAUGGAUUAAAUACAUAAAUUAAUUUACGUAUUUAGACGUAACUUUUGUAACAAGAAAACACAUAAUGAAUG